This 433-nucleotide ribosomal RNA is filed under the name uncultured bacterium. Its description in RNAcentral is "partial 16S ribosomal RNA". It matches the Rfam family "Bacterial small subunit ribosomal RNA", at positions 29 to 507 of the family's 1533-position model. The record is from RNAcentral.
AACGAACGCUGGCGGCAUGCCUAACACAUGCAAGUCGAACGAUGCUUUCGGGCAUAGUGGCGCACGGGUGCGUAACGCGUGGGAAUCUGCCCUUGGGUUCGGAAUAACAGUGAGAAAUUGCUGCUAAUACCGGAUGAUGUCUUCGGACCAAAGAUUUAUCGCCCAGGGAUGAGCCCGCGUAGGAUUAGCUAGUUGGUGGGGUAAUGGCCUACCAAGGCGACGAUCCUUAGCUGGUCUGAGAGGAUGAUUAGCCGCACUGGGACUGAGACACGGCCCAGACUCCUACGGGAGGCAGCAGUGGGGAAUAUUGGACAAUGGGCGCAAGCCUGAUCCAGCAAUGCCGCGUGAGUGAUGAAGGCCUUAGGGUUGUAAAGCUCUUUUACCCGAGAUGAUAAUGACAGUACCGGGAGAAUAAGCUCCGGCUAACUCCGUG